GUGCCAGCAGCCGCGGUAAUACGUAGGUGGCAAGCGUUGUCCGGAUUUACUGGGUGUAAAGGGCGUGUAGGCGGGUUAUUAAGUCUGAUGUGAAAUACCGAGGCUCAACUUCGGGGCUGCAUUGGAAACUGAUAAUCUUGAGUGCAGGAGAGGAAAGCGGAAUUCCUAGUGUAGCGGUGAAAUGCGUAGAUAUUAGGAGGAACACCAGUGGCGAAGGCGGCUUUCUGGACUGUAACUGACGCUGAGGCGCGAAAGCGUGGGGAGCAAACAGGAUUAGAUACCCUCGUAGUCC
RNAcentral lists this ribosomal RNA (292 nucleotides) under uncultured bacterium. Its description in RNAcentral is "partial 16S ribosomal RNA". It matches the Rfam family "Bacterial small subunit ribosomal RNA", at positions 505 to 796 of the family's 1533-position model. The record is from RNAcentral.